CGGUUCGCCCACGGGCGAUUAAAAGGGAACCGGAGUGAGAAUCCCGGACAGUCCCGCUGCUGUGUGCCGCCCCUUUUACUGAACUUGGACAAGAAGCCACUGCACUGUUGUCGGGAAGGCGUCCAUGUUUCGGGCGGCGAGUCAGAAGACCUGCCAUUGCGAG
Molecule: non-coding RNA, 163 nt
Filed under: uncultured Prevotella sp.
Lineage: Bacteria; Pseudomonadati; Bacteroidota; Bacteroidia; Bacteroidales; Prevotellaceae
Source: RNAcentral